RNAcentral lists this ribosomal RNA (460 nucleotides) under uncultured bacterium. RNAcentral describes it as "partial 16S ribosomal RNA". It matches the Rfam family "Bacterial small subunit ribosomal RNA", at positions 338 to 795 of the family's 1533-position model. The record is from RNAcentral.
CCUACGGGAGGCAGCAGUGAGGAAUAUUGGUCAAUGGACGAGAGUCUGAACCAGCCAAGUAGCGUGAAGGAUGACUGCCCUAUGGGUUGUAAACUUCUUUUAUAUGGGAAUAAAAUGUUCCACGUGUGGGAUUUUGUAUGUACCAUAUGAAUAAGGAUCGGCUAACUCCGUGCCAGCAGCCGCGGUAAUACGGAGGAUCCGAGCGUUCUCCGGAUUUAUUGGGUUUAAAGGGAGCGUAGGUGGAUUGUUAAGUCAGUUGUGAAAGUUUGCGGCUCAACCGUAAAAUUGCAGUUGAAACUGGCAGUCUUGAGUACAGUAGAGGUGGGCGGAAUUCGUGGUGUAGCGGUGAAAUGCUGAGAUAUCACGAAGAACUCCGAUUGCGAAGGCAGUUCACUGGACUGCAACUGACACUGAGGCUCGAAAGUGUGGGUAUCAAACAGGAUUAGAUACCCCUGUAGUC